Molecule: ribosomal RNA, 496 nt
Filed under: uncultured bacterium
Lineage: Bacteria
Description: partial 16S ribosomal RNA
Rfam family: Bacterial small subunit ribosomal RNA
Source: RNAcentral
GAUGAACGCUGGCGGCGUGCCUAAUACAUGCAAGUCGAGCGAACAGAUGAGGAGCUUGCUCCUCUGACGUUAGCGGCGGACGGGUGAGUAACACGUGGAUAACCUACCUAUAAGACUGGGAUAACUUCGGGAAACCGGAGCUAAUACCGGAUAAUAUAUUGAACCGCAUGGUUCAAUAGUGAAAGACGGUUUUGCUGUCACUUAUAGAUGGAUCCGCGCCGCAUUAGCUAGUUGGUAAGGUAACGGCUUACCAAGGCAACGAUGCGUAGCCGACCUGAGAGGGUGAUCGGCCACACUGGAACUGAGACACGGUCCAGACUCCUACGGGAGGCAGCAGUAGGGAAUCUUCCGCAAUGGGCGAAAGCCUGACGGAGCAACGCCGCGUGAGUGAUGAAGGUCUUCGGAUCGUAAAACUCUGUUAUUAGGGAAGAACAAAUGUGUAAGUAACUAUGCACGUCUGGACGGUACCUAAUCAGAAGCCACGGCUAACUACGUG